UACGGAAUCUUCCGCAAUGGGCGAAAGCCUGACGGAGCAACGCCGCGUGAGUGAUGAAGGUCUUCGGAUCGUAAAACUCUGUUAUUAGGGAAGAACAAAUGUGUAAGUAACUAUGCACGUCUUGACGGUACCUAAUCAGAAAGCCACGGCUAACUACGUGCCAGCAGCCGCGGUAAUACGUAGGUGGCAAGCGUUAUCCGGAAUUAUUGGGCGUAAAGCGCGCGUAGGCGGUUUUUUAAGUCUGAUGUGAAAGCCCACGGCUCAACCGUGGAGGGUCAUUGGAAACUGGAAAACUUGAGUGCAGAAGAGGAAAGUGGAAUUCCAUGUGUAGCGGUGAAAUGCGCAGAGAUAUGGGGGAACACCAGUGGCGAAGGCGACUUUCUGGUCUGUAACUGACGCUGAUGUGCGAAAGCGUGGGGAUCAAACAGG
RNAcentral lists this ribosomal RNA (429 nucleotides) under Actinomycetes bacterium. RNAcentral's name for it is "Actinobacteria bacterium partial 16S ribosomal RNA". It matches the Rfam family "Bacterial small subunit ribosomal RNA", at positions 355 to 776 of the family's 1533-position model. The record is from RNAcentral. Lineage: Bacteria; Bacillati; Actinomycetota; Actinomycetes.